ACUCGUUUUAUGGGCACGGAGGACGGGAGUUUUAUCAGCUUUCCUGGGAUUCAGCUCAACCAAAUCUUCGACCAUAGGGAUCUACCAUGGUACCAAACAGCUCUCUCGAACACCGAGCCCUCUUCGAUCUCCAUGACGACCCCUUACUACAGUGAGUUGGGCCUGGGGCUGGUGUGCACGGUGUCCAAGGCCCUGCACGACAAUCGGGGAAUCCUCAGGCGGUGGUGGCAGGGGACUUCACCCUGCAGUACAUCAUGACCCACUUCCUCAACCAGGUCCCUUACUGCAAGCGACACACGUGUCUUCUGGUGGACCAUCUGGGCUUCGUGGUGCUCAAGUCGGACUGGGCGAUCCACCAGACGCCCAAAUGGUUCAAAGAUACGGACAUCAUUGGGUCACACAUCAACCGCGUG
Molecule: non-coding RNA, 413 nt
Organism: Penaeus vannamei (Pacific white shrimp)
Lineage: Eukaryota; Metazoa; Arthropoda; Malacostraca; Decapoda; Penaeidae
Source: RefSeq, a predicted model, not a curated record